Molecule: ribosomal RNA, 253 nt
Filed under: uncultured bacterium
Lineage: Bacteria
Description: partial 16S ribosomal RNA
Rfam family: Bacterial small subunit ribosomal RNA
Source: RNAcentral
UACGAAGGGGGCUAGCGUUGCUCGGAAUUACUGGGCGUAAAGGGAGCGUAGGCGGAUAGUUUAGUCAGAGGUGAAAGCCCAGGGCUCAACCUUGGAAUUGCCUUUGAUACUGGCUAUCUUGAGUACGGAAGAGGUAUGUGGAACUCCGAGUGUAGAGGUGAAAUUCGUAGAUAUUCGGAAGAACACCAGUGGCGAAGGCGACAUACUGGACCGUUACUGACGCUGAGGCUCGAAAGCGUGGGGAGCAAACAGG